UUGGAGGGCAAGUCUGGUGCCAGCAGCCGCGGUAAUUCCAGCUCCAAUAGCGUAUAUUAAAGUUGUUGCAGUUAAAAAGCUCGUAGUUGAAUUUCGGGAUUAGUACGCUGGUCGUGCCUUCGGUACGUACUGGUGUUACUGAUUCCUACCUUCUGACGAACCAUCAUGUCAUUUAUUUGGUGUGGUGGGGAAUCAGGACUGUCACUUUGAAAAAAUUAGAGUGUUUAAAGCAGGCUCGCGCUUGAAUACAUUAGCAUGGAAUAAUGAAAUAGGACGUUGAUCCUAUUUUGUUGGUUUCUAGGAUUGACGUAAUGAUUAAUAGGGAUAGUUGGGGGCAUUAGUAUUCAAUUGUCAGAGGUGAAAUUCUUGGAUUUAUUGAAGACUAACUACUGCGAAAGCAUUUGCCAAGGAUGUUUUCAUUAAUCAAGAACGAAAGUUAGGGGAUCGAAGACGAUCAGAUACCGUCGUAGUCUUAACCAUAAACUAUGCCGACUAGGGAUCGGAUGAUGUUAUUUUUAAUGACUCAUUCGGCGCCUUACGGGAAA
Molecule: ribosomal RNA, 545 nt
Filed under: uncultured Glomeromycotina
Lineage: Eukaryota; Fungi; Glomeromycota
Description: SSU rRNA
Rfam family: Eukaryotic small subunit ribosomal RNA
Source: RNAcentral